ACGGGUGAGUAAUGCCUAGGAAUCUGCCUGGUAGUGGGGGAUAACGCUCGGAAACGGACGCUAAUACCGCAUACGUCCUACGGGAGAAAGCAGGGGACCUUCGGGCCUUGCGCUAUCAGAUGAGCCUAGGUCGGAUUAGCUAGUUGGUGAGGUAAUGGCUCACCAAGGCGACGAUCCGUAACUGGUCUGAGAGGAUGAUCAGUCACACUGGAACUGAGACACGGUCCAGACUCCUACGGGAGGCAGCAGUGGGGAAUAUUGGACAAUGGGCGAAAGCCUGAUCCAGCCAUGCCGCGUGUGUGAAGAAGGUCUUCGGAUUGUAAAGCACUUUAAGUUGGGAGGAAGGGCAGUUACCUAAUACGUGAUUGUUUGACGUUACCGACAGAAUAAGCACCGGCUAACUCUGUGCCAGCAGCCGCGGUAAUACAGAGGGUGCAAGCGUUAAUCGGAAUUACUGGGCGUAAAGCGCGCGUAGGUGGUUUGUUAAGUUGGAUGUGAAAUCCCCGGGCUCAACCUGGGAACUGCAUCCAAAACUGGCAAGCUAGAGUAUGGUAGAGGGGUGGUGGAAUUUCCUGUGUAGCGGU
RNAcentral lists this ribosomal RNA (584 nucleotides) under uncultured Pseudomonas sp. Its description in RNAcentral is "bacterial SSU rRNA". It matches the Rfam family "Bacterial small subunit ribosomal RNA", at positions 102 to 682 of the family's 1533-position model. The record is from RNAcentral. Lineage: Bacteria; Pseudomonadati; Pseudomonadota; Gammaproteobacteria; Pseudomonadales; Pseudomonadaceae.